Molecule: ribosomal RNA, 35 nt
Filed under: Balansia nigricans
Lineage: Eukaryota; Fungi; Ascomycota; Sordariomycetes; Hypocreales; Clavicipitaceae
Description: partial 5.8S ribosomal RNA
Source: RNAcentral
GCACUCUGGCGGCAUGCCUGUUCGAGCGUCAUUUU